Molecule: ribosomal RNA, 929 nt
Filed under: Kalmanozyma fusiformata
Lineage: Eukaryota; Fungi; Basidiomycota; Ustilaginomycetes; Ustilaginales
Description: eukaryotic LSU rRNA
Rfam family: Eukaryotic large subunit ribosomal RNA (bases 302-929)
Source: RNAcentral
GGGAGCAUGCCUGUUUGAGGGCCGCGAAUUGUUUCGAACGGCAGCUUUUUUCACAAAGAGCUGACGGAUCGGUAGUGAGGGUCUUGCCAUUCAUCGUGGCUCCCUCGAAAUACAUUAGCGCAUCCAUUUGAUAGGCAAGACGGACGAAGGCUCACUCUUUCGUCCUUUUCUUCCCUGCCGGGUUUUGAUAAUAUCAGGACUUCGGAGCGGUCGAAGAGGGCACGAGCUGGACGCAACGACUUGCUGGUUGGAUUGCUUCUGAACCCCGCCCUUUUUGUAGAAAUUGGGAUUUAUAAUUCAUCGGCCUCAGAUUGGUAGGACUACCCGCUGAACUUAAGCAUAUCAAUAAGCGGAGGAAAAGAAACUAACAAGGAUUCCCCUAGUAACGGCGAGUGAAGAGGGAAGAGCCCAAGAUUGAAAGCUGGCGCCUUCGGCGUCCGCAUUGUAAUCUCAAGAAGUGUUUUCCGCUUCGGACCAUGCCUAAGUCCCUUGGAAAAGGGCAUCAUAGAGGGUGAUAAUCCCGUACAUGGCAUGGAGCGCCCGAAGCUUUGUGAUACGCUUUCUAAGAGUCGAGUUGUUUGGGAAUGCAGCUCAAAAUGGGUGGUAAAUGCCAUCUAAGGCUAAAUAUUGGGGAGAGACCGAUAGCGAACAAGUACAGUGAUGGAAAGAUGAAAAGAACUUUGAAAAGAGAGUUAAACAGUACGUGAAAUUGCCAAAAGGGAAGGGUAGGAGGUCAGAGAUGCGUUCUAGGAUUCAGCCUUGCUUUUGCAUGGUGUUUUUUCUAGUUUGCAGGCCAACGUCGGUUUUGGGCACUGGAGAAGGGUGGAAGGAAUGUGGCACCUCUCGGGGUGUGUUAUAGCCUUCUACUGGAUACAGCGACCGAGACCGAGGACAGCAGCGUACUCGCAAGAGCGGGCCUUCGGGCACCU